AGAGCGAACGCUGGCGGCAGGCUUAACACAUGCAAGUCGAGCGGGCGUAGCAAUACGUCAGCGGCAGACGGGUGAGUAACGCGUGGGAACAUACCUUUUGGUUCGGAACAACACAGGGAAACUUGUGCUAAUACCGGAUAAGCCCUUACGGGGAAAGAUUUAUCGCCGAAAGAUUGGCCCGCGUCUGAUUAGCUAGUUGGUGAGGUAACGGCUCACCAAGGCGACGAUCAGUAGCUGGUCUGAGAGGAUGAUCAGCCACAUUGGGACUGAGACACGGCCCAAACUCCUACGGGAGGCAGCAGUGGGGAAUAUUGGACAAUGGGCGCAAGCCUGAUCCAGCCAUGCCGCGUGAGUGAUGAAGGCCCGUAGGGUUGUAAAGCUUCUUUUGUGCGGGAAGAUAAUGACGGUACCGCGAAGAAUAACGCCCCGGCUAACUUCGCGCCAGCAGCCGC
RNAcentral lists this ribosomal RNA (452 nucleotides) under uncultured bacterium. RNAcentral describes it as "SSU rRNA". It matches the Rfam family "Bacterial small subunit ribosomal RNA", at positions 26 to 518 of the family's 1533-position model. The record is from RNAcentral.